RNAcentral lists this ribosomal RNA (465 nucleotides) under Vreelandella stevensii. RNAcentral's name for it is "partial 16S ribosomal RNA". It matches the Rfam family "Bacterial small subunit ribosomal RNA", at positions 338 to 795 of the family's 1533-position model. The record is from RNAcentral. Lineage: Bacteria; Pseudomonadati; Pseudomonadota; Gammaproteobacteria; Oceanospirillales; Halomonadaceae.
CCUACGGGGGGCAGCAGUGGGGAAUAUUGGACAAUGGGCGAAAGCCUGAUCCAGCCAUGCCGCGUGUGUGAAGAAGGCCUUCGGGUUGUAAAGCACUUUCAGUGGGGAAGAAAGCCUUGGGGCUAAUACCCUCGAGGAAGGACAUCACCCACAGAAGAAGCACCGGCUAACUCCGUGCCAGCAGCCGCGGUAAUACGGAGGGUGCGAGCGUUAAUCGGAAUUACUGGGCGUAAAGCGCGCGUAGGCGGUCUGAUAAGCCGGUUGUGAAAGCCCCGGGCUCAACCUGGGAACGGCAUCCGGAACUGUCAGGCUAGAGUGCAGGAGAGGAAGGUAGAAUUCCCGGUGUAGCGGUGAAAUGCGUAGAGAUCGGGAGGAAUACCAGUGGCGAAGGCGGCCUUCUGGACUGACACUGACGCUGAGGUGCGAAAGCGUGGGUAGCAAACAGGAUUAGAUACCCCUGUAGUC